Long non-coding RNA from Daphnia pulicaria, 775 nucleotides. RefSeq lists it as uncharacterized. The transcript has 4 exons. Lineage: Eukaryota; Metazoa; Arthropoda; Branchiopoda; Diplostraca; Daphniidae. The record is from RefSeq and is a predicted model, not a curated record.
UUAUUCGUCUAUCGUCUUCGUCCGUGGAUGCUAAGUGCUGUCACUAGGUGGCUAAAUAUUUCAGUGUGUUUAGGGAUUGAACUAUUCAGCCCUAGUGUGUUGGUAGAGGGAUGUACUGGAGGGGGGGUCACCAUAGUUUUGAGACCGUGUGACAGUGAGACGAGAAAACUUCCGAGACGCUGGCCGAGAAGGUUACUCUAGACAUCAUUGCUGGGUACUCUCUUUCCUGACGUUGUUCUUCAUAAAAAAAGGUUGGUGGAGAUUUUUCUCAACUUCAGUGCCAGACAAGAUGCCUCUGAUGUAUCAUGUUGCGAGAUGAAAAUGGGAAGAAAACAGGAAAUCUGAAAUGUUUGGUGUUGAUGGUGGUGAUUCUGGUGUGCAGUGGUGUGGCAGUCAUUUUCUGAUUGAAAGAUGCACUGAAAUGGAUUUUCUGCAGACCUGCAGUUCAACAUCUGACUUCAACUUACCAUGUUGGUGUUCAUGCAGUGUUUGAACUGUUAUGUGAAAUAGUUGGUGUUGCCUGAUGGUUGUCUUGCAUUUUGGUGUCGUCUCUUGCGACUUUUACCCACGUUCGAUCGUGUGCCGCCGUUUCAAACUUGAUAUUGUUGAAGUUAAGGAGUUGCUGAAAUUCAAGACUGAUAAAUCAUUAGAUUUACAUCAAUUAAAAGUGCAAAUCUUUUGUUCCUUUUCCCUAAGUAAACAAAAUGUCCUCAAUUGGCAAGUUUGAAAACCAAGAAUUCGGGUGUAUCUAAAAUGCGCGUGCGCGGCUACUAAU